This 500-nucleotide ribosomal RNA is filed under the name uncultured bacterium. RNAcentral describes it as "partial 16S ribosomal RNA". It matches the Rfam family "Bacterial small subunit ribosomal RNA", at positions 30 to 523 of the family's 1533-position model. The record is from RNAcentral.
AUUGAACGCUGGCGGAAUGCUUUACACAUGCAAGUCGAACGGCAGCACGGACUUCGGUCUGGUGGCGAGUGGCGAACGGGUGAGUAAUGUAUCGGAACGUGCCCAGUCGUGGGGGAUAACGUAGUGAAAAUUACGCUAAUACCGCAUACGAUCUAUGGAUGAAAGCGGGGGAUCGCAAGACCUCGCGCGAUUGGAGCGGCCGAUAUCAGAUUAGGUAGUUGGUGGGGUAAAGGCCCACCAAGCCAACGAUCUGUAGCUGGUCUGCGAGGACGACCAGCCACGCUGGAACUGAGACACGGUCCAGACUCCGACGGGAGGCAGCAGUGGGGAAUUUUGGACAAUGGGCGAAAGCCUGAUUCAGCCAUUCCGCGUGCAGGAUGAAGGCCCUCGGGUUGUAAACUGCUUUUGUACAGAACGAAAAGGUUUCUACUAAUACUAGGAGCUCAUGACGGUACUGUAAGAAUAAGCACCGGCUAACUACGUGCCAGCCGCCGCGGUAA